Molecule: long non-coding RNA, 777 nt
Organism: Telopea speciosissima
Lineage: Eukaryota; Viridiplantae; Streptophyta; Magnoliopsida; Proteales; Proteaceae
Exons: 4
Source: RefSeq, a predicted model, not a curated record
AAGAAAGAAGCAACACAGAUGCGCACUAUGUUUGCUACUUUGGUUGAUCCCUCUUGGAAUGGGCUGCUUCAAGGAAAGUUUGUGUCUUUAGGUACCAGACGAAUGAUGGGUUGAUUUGGUUUUGGAAACUGGACUUCUUACUGCUGACAGCUUAAAACUACUCUUUGAUUUUAUUUUAUUCUUUUUCCAAACCAUAAUGGGAAUCAUGCAAAGUCACAUUCUUUUAGUAUAGCUGGUUAUGAAUCAUAUGGUUCACCCAAUGUAUUCUAUUUCCAAUUUGUUCAAUGAAAAUUGACCUCAACACCAAAUUAGGAGUGCAUGUUGGAAACUUGCUAUUUUCUGACUUUUGUCAAAUAAAAAUCUCAUCCUAUUGAAGGUUCCUUGUUUUUUUUAAAUGAAUAUUUAAAGAACUAUUCCUUUUUCCAUUUUGUUUUUCCACUCUGACAAAUAACAAUUCAUUUUGCUAAGAUAAAAAGGAAUAAUGGAGGAGUGCUCUCUACGGGCAAAAUUGACGCUUCAUCAGACCAGGCCUUGGGCUCUGCCCUAUUCAAGAAUUCAUCAACUGCCCAACCCAACAAGAGUUGUAGCACAAUCUCUAUGGAAGCAACCACAGUAUAGACUCUGCUUUUGUCAAGAAAAGCUAUCUGUAGACUCCAUUUCUAAUGCCCAAGGGUGGCAUAAAACCCCCCUUUAAGAUUCCAACUGAGGUAGAAUGACUACUCCCAUUUCUCCUUGCAGGUCAUAUCUUGAUGGUUUUUUUAAUGGUAAUUAGAAAUC